RNAcentral lists this non-coding RNA (23 nucleotides) under Rattus norvegicus (Norway rat). The record is from RNAcentral. Lineage: Eukaryota; Metazoa; Chordata; Mammalia; Rodentia; Muridae.
UGGAGAACUGGAAACGGAAAACU